GAUGAACGCUGGCGGCGUGCCUAAUACAUGCAAGUCGAGCGAACAGACGAGGAGCUUGCUCCUCUGACGUUAGCGGCGGACGGGUGAGUAACACGUGGAUAACCUACCUAUAAGACUGGGAUAACUUCGGGAAACCGGAGCUAAUACCGGAUAACAUGUUGAACCGCAUGGUUCAACAGUGAAAGACGGUCUUGUUGUCACUUAUAGAUGGAUCCGCGCCGCAUUAGCUAGUUGGUAAGGUAACGGCUUACCAAGGCAACGAUGCGUAGCCGACCUGAGAGGGUGAUCGGCCACACUGGAACUGAGACACGGUCCAGACUCCUACGGGAGGCAGCAGUAGGGAAUCUUCCGCAAUGGGCGAAAGCCUGACGGAGCAACGCCGCGUGAGUGAAGAAGGUCUUCGGAUCGUAAAACUCUGUUAUUAGGGAAGAACAAAUGUGUAAGUAACUAUGCACGUCUUGACGGUACCUAAUCAGAAAGCCACGGCUAACUACGUG
This 497-nucleotide ribosomal RNA is filed under the name uncultured bacterium. Its description in RNAcentral is "partial 16S ribosomal RNA". It matches the Rfam family "Bacterial small subunit ribosomal RNA", at positions 28 to 507 of the family's 1533-position model. The record is from RNAcentral.